UACGUAGGGGGCGAGCGUUGUCCGGAUUUAUUGGGCGUAAAGAGCUCGUAGGCGGCUUAGCAAGUCGGGUGUGAAAACUCCAGGCUCAACCUGGAGACGCCACUCGAGACUGCUAUGGCUAGAGUCCGGUAGGGGACCACGGAAUUCCUGGUGUAGCGGUGAAAUGCGCAGAUAUCUGGAGGAACACCGGUGGCGAAGGCGGCAUCCUGGACCAUUACUGACACUGAAAAGCGAAAGCCAGGGGAGCAAACGGG
This 254-nucleotide ribosomal RNA is filed under the name uncultured bacterium. Its description in RNAcentral is "partial 16S ribosomal RNA". It matches the Rfam family "Bacterial small subunit ribosomal RNA", at positions 524 to 776 of the family's 1533-position model. The record is from RNAcentral.